UACGUAGGGUGCGAGCGUUGUCCGGAAUUACUGGGCGUAAAGAGCUCGUAGGUGGUUUGUCGCGUUGUUCGUGAAAUCUCACGGCUUAACUGUGAGCGUGCGGGCGAUACGGGCAGACUUGAGUACUGCAGGGGAGACUGGAAUUCCUGGUGUAGCGGUGGAAUGCGCAGAUAUCAGGAGGAACACCGGUGGCGAAGGCGGGUCUCUGGGCAACAACUGACGCUGAGGAGCGAAAGCGUGGGGAGCGAACAGG
This 253-nucleotide ribosomal RNA is filed under the name uncultured bacterium. Its description in RNAcentral is "partial 16S ribosomal RNA". It matches the Rfam family "Bacterial small subunit ribosomal RNA", at positions 524 to 776 of the family's 1533-position model. The record is from RNAcentral.